AUAGUAAUUGACUUUCCAUAACAUUAGGUUAUGAUAAUUUUCAAAAUUGCUAAAUUAUGCACCUAUUGAUGAAUUGGUCAUGGAAUUGGUGCAUCAGUCCUUCAGUUAGGUGGCAAUCAUCAUUCAUCAAUUAAAGUCACACCCACCAAGUGCAGAAACACCAUACCAGGAACAUAAGUUAAACACCAAUCACAUGAGGCAGA
Molecule: unclassified non-coding RNA, 203 nt
Filed under: Hevea brasiliensis (rubber tree)
Lineage: Eukaryota; Viridiplantae; Streptophyta; Magnoliopsida; Malpighiales; Euphorbiaceae
Source: RNAcentral